AGCUAAUAGAUACCCCGGUAGUCCACGCCCUAAACGAUGUCUACUAGUUGUUGGUGGAGUAAAAUCCAUGAGUAAACGCAGCUAAACGCGUGAAGUAGACCGCCUGGGGAGUACGGUCGCAAGAUUAAAAACUCAAAGGAAUUGACGGGGGCCCGCACAAGCGGUGGAUUAUGUGGAUUAAAUUCGAUGCAACGCGAAAAACCUUACCUGGCCUUGACAUGCCACUAACGAAGCAGAGAUGCAUUAGGUGCCCGUAAGGGAAAGUGGACACAGGUGCUGCAUGGCUGUCGUCAGCUCGUGUCGUGAGAUGUUGGGUUAAGUCCCGCAACGAGCGCAACCCUUGCCAUUAAUUGCCAUCAUUUAGUUGGGUCACUUUAAUGGGGACUGCCGGUGACAAACCGGAGGAAGGUGGGGAUGACGUCAAGGUCCUCAUGGCCCUUAUGGCCAGGGCUUCACACGUAAUACAAUGGUCGGUACAGAGAGUUGCCAACCCGCAGGGGGAGCUAAAUCUCAGAAAGCCGAUCGUAGUCCGGAUUGUUCUCUGC
Molecule: ribosomal RNA, 545 nt
Filed under: uncultured bacterium
Lineage: Bacteria
Description: bacterial SSU rRNA
Rfam family: Bacterial small subunit ribosomal RNA
Source: RNAcentral